This is a non-coding RNA of Acanthosepion pharaonis, 112 nucleotides long. The record is from the annotation of a GenBank genome assembly. Lineage: Eukaryota; Metazoa; Mollusca; Cephalopoda; Sepiida; Sepiidae.
UUACGGCCAUAUCUCGUUGAAACCCCGGUUUUCGCAAGACCACCGAAUUUAAGCAACGUCGAAACUGAUCAGUACCUCAAUGGGUGACCGCUUGGGAAUACUAGGUGCAGUG